Molecule: ribosomal RNA, 253 nt
Filed under: uncultured bacterium
Lineage: Bacteria
Description: partial 16S ribosomal RNA
Rfam family: Bacterial small subunit ribosomal RNA
Source: RNAcentral
UACGUAGGGGGCAAGCGUUGUCCGGAAUCAUUGGGCGUAAAGCGCGUGUAGGCGGCUUGUUAAGUUGGUUGUGAAAACCCAUGGCUCAACCAUGGAAGGGCGUCCAAAACUGGCAAGCUAGAGUCCCGACGAGGAUGGCGGAAUUCCCAGUGUAGAGGUGAAAUUCGUAGAUAUUGGGAGGAACACCGGUGGCGAAGGCGGCCAUCUGGGAGGGCACUGACGCUGAGACGCGAAAGCGUGGGGAGCAAACAGG